UCCUGGCCCUAAACGAUGUCCACUAGGUCGAAGGUUCUCUGACGGAGUUUCGGCCGAAACAAAAGCGUUAAGUGGACCGCCUGGGGAGUACGGUCGCAAGGCUAAAACUCAAAGGAAUUGGCGGGGGCUCACACAAGCGGUGGAGCAUGUUGCUUAAUUCGAUGCAACGCGAAGAACCUUAUCCUGGGCUUGACAUGCAGCAAUACCUCCCUGGAAACAGGGUUGGUUGCCCUUCGGGGUGAAAUCUGCACAGG
Molecule: ribosomal RNA, 254 nt
Filed under: uncultured bacterium
Lineage: Bacteria
Description: partial 16S ribosomal RNA
Rfam family: Bacterial small subunit ribosomal RNA
Source: RNAcentral